UGGGAUAUCGCCAAGCGGUAAGGCAGCGGGUUUUGAUCUCGCCAUUCGUAGGUUCAAAUCCUACUAUCCCAGCCA
This 75-nucleotide transfer RNA is filed under the name Gammaproteobacteria bacterium. Its description in RNAcentral is "tRNA-Gln". It matches the Rfam family "tRNA". Rfam says of the family: Transfer RNA (tRNA) molecules are approximately 80 nucleotides in length. The record is from RNAcentral. Lineage: Bacteria; Pseudomonadati; Pseudomonadota; Gammaproteobacteria.